UACAGAGGGUGCGAGCGUUAAUCGGAAUUACUGGGCGUAAAGGGCGCGUAGGCGGUUAAUUAAGUUAGAUGUGAAAUCCCUGGGCUUAAUCUAGGAACUGCAUCUAAUACUGGUUGACUAGAGUGCGGUAGAGGGUAGUGGAAUUUCCGGUGUAGCGGUGAAAUGCGUAGAUAUCUGGAAGAACACCGGUGGCGAAGGCGGUCAACUGGCCCUAAACUGACGCUCAGGCACGAAAGCGUGGGGAUCAAACAGG
RNAcentral lists this ribosomal RNA (253 nucleotides) under uncultured bacterium. Its description in RNAcentral is "partial 16S ribosomal RNA". It matches the Rfam family "Bacterial small subunit ribosomal RNA", at positions 524 to 776 of the family's 1533-position model. The record is from RNAcentral.